RNAcentral lists this ribosomal RNA (460 nucleotides) under uncultured bacterium. RNAcentral describes it as "partial 16S ribosomal RNA". It matches the Rfam family "Bacterial small subunit ribosomal RNA", at positions 338 to 795 of the family's 1533-position model. The record is from RNAcentral.
CCUACGGGUGGCAGCAGUGAGGAAUAUUGGUCAAUGGACGAGAGCCUGAACCAGCAAAGCCGCGUGAAGGAAGACUGCCCUAUGGGUUUUAAACUUUUUUUAUAAGGGAAUAAAACGAGGCACGUGUGCCGUUUUGCAUGUACUUUAUGAAUAAGGAUCGGCUAACUCCGUGCCAGAAGCCGCGGUAAUACGGAGGAUCCGAGCGUUAUCCGGAUUUAGUGGGUGUAAAGGGAGCGUAGAUGGGUAGUUAAGUCAGUUGUGAAAGUAUGUGGCUCAACCGUAAGAUUGCAUUUGAUACUGGCAGUCUUGAGUACAGUUGAGGUAGGCGGAAUUCGUGGUGUAGCGGUGAAAUGCGUAGAUAUCACGAAGAACCCCGGUGGCGAAGGCAGCUUACUAAACUGUGACUGACAUUGAGGCUCGAAAGCGUGGGUAGCAAACAGGAUUAGAUACCCGAGUAGUC